Long non-coding RNA from Panicum virgatum (switchgrass), 875 nucleotides. RefSeq lists it as uncharacterized. Lineage: Eukaryota; Viridiplantae; Streptophyta; Magnoliopsida; Poales; Poaceae. The transcript has 2 exons. The record is from RefSeq and is a predicted model, not a curated record.
UGGUAGUGGAUCAGUAUACCUCUGCUUAAACCAUAUAUUCUCUGGCCUAGCUGUUAGGUCCUGUGGGUGUUAAGAAGGAAAAAAAUCUAUUUUGUUUCCAUUCGAUAUAGUAUCAACAUAUUUUAUGGUCUUUCUUACAGUCAUUAAAAGAUUAUAGAACCAGUAGAGAGAUCACCUUUAUGACUUACUGGAUUAGUCAGUAGAGUGAAUGCCAAUCUGGACCUUAUAUUUUAAUUAACCCAGUGUUCUAAAACGUGCCUGAUUGGCUGUUUGUGCCUGGUGGUUUCUAGCACCAGAUUGCAGUUUCAUUGUUUGUUUUAUGAUCUUUUGCUGCUAAGUCUAAAUGUAUAUUCUGAUAGCUCUGCUUUGCUAUUUUCGUUAACUCUUCAGGUAAAGGUUUGGUUACAAUGAAGGGUUUUAACGGAUCAUUUCCUAAUGCUGCGUCAUCUGCUAAGUACAUUUGGAAAUAAAAUUGCUAGAGAGAGAGGAGCUCGCUGCUGGCGCAUCCUGAAGGGAGGAGCAAAGCUCUGUUAUCAUUGCAAGGUUGAUGAUAAUGGCAAGCACAACAGGUCGGCUGGGCAGGAAACAAAUUGUGACAGCAUAAACUUAUUUCUCGAGUUGCAAAGUUUGUGUUGUAUUAGUGAUGCGUUCCUCAGGAUUGAAAGUUUAGCCUGCUUCAUUAAAAAUAUUACAUUUUGUAAAAACUAUUGUUCGUUAGGUGGCUAGUCUCUGAUAGGGUCUCUUUUUUGGCAAGGGCCAUGUAUCUCUGUAUGUAUGUUCUUUUCUUUGUGAUUAAAAAUAUUCAGCAGAAGCCUCCUUGGUGUUUCCUCGCGGAAACAUAAAUACCAACAGUUCAUACGACUUUUCUUUCACUA